This 329-nucleotide long non-coding RNA is filed under the name Nicotiana benthamiana. Its description in RNAcentral is "long non-coding RNA (NBEN_LNC023292)". The record is from RNAcentral. Lineage: Eukaryota; Viridiplantae; Streptophyta; Magnoliopsida; Solanales; Solanaceae.
UUCUAACUUGAAUUACCUUCCUUCAGAACUGCUUCCUAAAAAAUUGGUGUUGUCCUCCUUCAAAAACCGCUUCCCUAACAACUUGGUGUUCCAAUCCUCCGAAAAUUACUUCCCUUAAAACUGGUAUUUCUUUCCUGAACACUACUUCCCUCUUCUUCUUUUAACAAACUUGUAUUUGACCUUCAUGUUCUUCGAAUGGUGCCCGACUUCAAAAACGGAACACUACCUCCCUCUUCUUCUUUUAACAAACUUGUAUUUGACCAACAUGUUCUUCGAAUGGGUACCCGACUUUCAAAAACGAUUUUCAAAAUGGCAGAAAAUUUUCUGCC